RNAcentral lists this microRNA precursor (65 nucleotides) under Murid betaherpesvirus 1 (Murine cytomegalovirus). Its description in RNAcentral is "microRNA mcmv-mir-m01 precursor (mcmv-mir-m01-3)". Its record names the gene mcmv-mir-m01-3. Lineage: Duplodnaviria; Heunggongvirae; Peploviricota; Herviviricetes; Herpesvirales; Orthoherpesviridae. The record is from miRBase by way of RNAcentral.
AGCGGUGAAGCGACUGUUGCCUCGAAACAUACGGCGGCGCUCGAGGAACGCUCGCUUCACGGCUC